CCAACCUCCUACCUCUCACCUGAGACCGGCUGGUCCAGUCUCUGGCCUCCCCUCCCCCUUCCACGUCUCUCCAGUCUCCCCCCUCCCCCGCCCCAUUUCCGCUGCAGGCUCUGCACAGGCCUCUGGCGCUUCAUCCGGAUGGGGAGAGGCUGCAGUGACCCCGGGAUGGGCUUCGGUGUCAUCCGCACUCACACCCCACCCCCACCCCCAGGAACAGGAGGCAACUGCACCUUUACACUGACCUGCAGGGAUCCAGGGAAUUUUCCUCCCUCUUCCCUCAGUCGGUUUGGGUCGCUCCCCAAAGACCAAGAGUCCUGCAGACCGACAAGACUGCUUGGUGAGGAGACCCCAGGGUCCCGAAGGCAGCGCCCAGCUUUAUACUGACCUGAAAGGAUCCGGGGCACUUUUCUCCUUCUCCAGCUAUAGGGAGCUGCUCCUGGGAAACAGGCCCUGGACUAUAAGGACUUCUGCACACGUCGACUCCUGGUCACGUGAGGGUCGCGUCAUCAAUGAGCUCGAGUCCUCGGUUACUCCUCCCAUUUAACACUGCAGCCCGCCCCCUGCGUUCCCUCCAUUUGAUACUGUCAAUCUUUUUUUUCAUAUUUGCCAAUCAGAGACAAUAAAACUGGUAUCUUCUUCCUGCA
This is a long non-coding RNA of Bubalus bubalis (water buffalo), 644 nucleotides long. RefSeq lists it as uncharacterized. The record is from RefSeq and is a predicted model, not a curated record. Lineage: Eukaryota; Metazoa; Chordata; Mammalia; Artiodactyla; Bovidae. The transcript has 2 exons.